GGAUGAACGCUGGCGGCGUGCCUAAUACCUGCAAGUCGAGCGAACAGACGAGGAGCUUACUCCUCUGACGUUAGCGGCGGACGGGUGAGUAACACGUGGAUAACCUACCUAUAAGACUGGGAUAACUUCGGGAAACCGGAGCUAAUACCGGAUAACAUGUUGAACCGCAUGGUUCAACAGUGAAAGACGGUCUUGCUGUCACUUAUAGAUGGAUCCGCGUCGCAUUAGCUAGUUGGUAAGGUAACGGCUUACCAAGGCAACGAUGCGUAGCCGACCUGAGAGGGUGAUCGGCCACACUGGAACUGAGACACGGUCCAGACUCCUACGGGAGGCAGCAGUAGGGAAUCUUCCGCAAUGGGCGAAAGCCUGACGGAGCAACGCCGCGUGAGUGAAGAAGGUCUUCGGAUCGUAAAACUCUGUUAUUAGGGAAGAACAAAUGUGUAAGUAACUAUGCACGUCUUGACGGUACCUAAUCAGAAAGCCACGGCUAACUACGUG
RNAcentral lists this ribosomal RNA (498 nucleotides) under uncultured bacterium. Its description in RNAcentral is "partial 16S ribosomal RNA". It matches the Rfam family "Bacterial small subunit ribosomal RNA", at positions 27 to 507 of the family's 1533-position model. The record is from RNAcentral.